This 72-nucleotide transfer RNA is filed under the name Camelus bactrianus (Bactrian camel). It matches the Rfam family "tRNA". From Rfam's summary of the family: Transfer RNA (tRNA) molecules are approximately 80 nucleotides in length. Their secondary structure includes four short double-helical elements and three loops (D, anti-codon, and T loops). The record is from Rfam by way of RNAcentral. RNAcentral also lists the same sequence under 2 other names. Lineage: Eukaryota; Metazoa; Chordata; Mammalia; Artiodactyla; Camelidae.
GAGGGUAUAGCUCAGUGAUAGAGCAUGUGCUUAGCAUGCACAAGGUCCUGGGUUCCACCCCCAGUAUCUCCA